Non-coding RNA from Beta vulgaris subsp. vulgaris (sugar beet), 47 nucleotides. The record is from Rfam. Lineage: Eukaryota; Viridiplantae; Streptophyta; Magnoliopsida; Caryophyllales; Amaranthaceae.
GGCCAGGCUCUUUUCAGAGCCAACAAUUAAAUAAAAAUAAAUCUCAU